CGGCGGACGGGUUAGUAACACGUGGGUAACCUACCUAUAAGACUGGGACAACUUCGGGAAACCGGAGCUAAUACCGGAUAAGAUAUCGAACCGCAUGGUUCGAUAGUGAAAGAUGGUUUUGCUAUCACUUAUAGAUGGACCCGCGCCGAUUAGCUAGUUGGUGAGGUAACGGCUCACCAAGGCAACGAUACGUAGCCGACCUGAGAGGGUGAUCGGCUACACUGGAACUGAGACACGGUCCAGACUCCUACGGGAGGCAGCAGGC
RNAcentral lists this ribosomal RNA (265 nucleotides) under uncultured Staphylococcus sp. RNAcentral's name for it is "partial 16S ribosomal RNA". It matches the Rfam family "Bacterial small subunit ribosomal RNA", at positions 96 to 354 of the family's 1533-position model. The record is from RNAcentral. Lineage: Bacteria; Bacillati; Bacillota; Bacilli; Caryophanales; Staphylococcaceae.